This is a long non-coding RNA of Neofelis nebulosa (Clouded leopard), 3947 nucleotides long. RefSeq lists it as uncharacterized. The transcript is spliced from 2 exons. The record is from RefSeq and is a predicted model, not a curated record. NCBI's taxonomy places the organism in Eukaryota, Metazoa, Chordata, Mammalia, Carnivora, Felidae.
GAGCAGAACAACAGUAAUGAACAAAACACUUUGGUUGCAAUAAUACUAUUAUAAAGGGAAAUGCUGCCCCUUAUCCAAACCUGGUCUUAAAUUGUAAGGUUCUGCUGAGACCACCUAGGGGUAUAGAGCAUUUUGUAUAGUGCCUUGUAUGAGGGUAGGUGAUGAGUAAGAAUUUACUGAAGGAGAAUAAAUCUGUGAGUGUUAAUGAUUCAAACCGUUUGAAGUUACUUUGUUAGAUGACAUUAGCUCAUUACUAGGAGAAAAUGCCCUUUAUUUCUGGGAUUCUUAAUAUGCGGUCCAUAAAUCGUUAUAAUUCUGCAGAUGAGUUUCAUGAAGCUCAAAAACUCCUUCACACCUGUGAAAUUGUGCAUAUAAUCAUUUUUAUAGGAAACAAGUUUAUAAUUUUUAUGAUUCUCAAAGGUAUCCUGUCCUCAUUCUCGCUUUAGCUGCCUGCCUUACAAUUUCAUUGUAAAGAUACUCUUUGGGCAUAAGAGGCAGACCAGAGGACAAGCAGAGGCCUUUAUUGAACCUCUGAAGUCCUGUUUGAAUUAGCAUCUGUCUCCUUACCUACAUCUAAGAGAGUUUCUAAAAUUUUUUUUACUUUAUUUUUGAGAGACAGAGGAAAAGCAUGAAUGCAGGAGGAGCAGAGAAAGGGAGACACAGAAUCAAGCAGGCUCCAGGCUCUGAGCUGUCAGCACAGAGCUCGGUGAGGGGCUCAAACCCACGAACUGUGAGAUCAUGACCUGAGCUGAAGUUGGAUGCUUAACUGACUGAGCCACCCAGGUGCCCCUAAGAGAGUUUCUUUAUGACAUAACAAGUACCAUGAUCAUAGUGCUAAAUGAAAGAAUAAUUUAUAUAGGCUGUCCUGUGCCAUUCUCUUGGUAUUUGUCCUUACCUCUAAGAUACUCUAAAAUCAUUGGAAAUGUCACUGCUGUAUCUCUGAAAAGUUUCUCCAAGUAUUUCUUCUUUUCACCACGUACAGAACUUGAGCUCAUGUGUCAGCCUCUCCAUAGAUAAAAUGGAAUGUAUUGGCUGGUUGCUCGUGAAUGAAUUAUCUCUUUAUGGCUAGAAUGAUUCCCCUCAGCAAAAGGUAUGCCGGGCUUAGGCGAAAGGCAGCGUCCUGUAAGACGGAGGCCAGGAGAAUGGGUGUUCAGUUCAGUGCAGCCUUGUCUCCCUCUCUCAGCACAGAAAAGGAGGAACUUAGUAUGACUUUGCCUUUUCUAUCAUAAGUGUUAACUUGAUGACUCAAAUAAUAGAAGCUUCUCUUUGAACCACUGAAGUUGUAACGUUAUGUUCUUUGCUGUUGAAGCAGACAAAACCAUCAAACGAUGUUCAUGUGAAACCAUCUUCCAAGUGUUGUCAUUGAGAAUCCACACUUUUCCCUCUCAUGCCCAUCAUUUCCUGUUUGUGCUUCUUACAAGGACUGGCAGAUGAAGCUUGCAGCACAGCGAAAAAGACUGUCCCUGUCAUCUCUGUUUCAAAAUCCAAUAGGAAGGAGUAUUUUUCUUGCUUUCUGUGUGUGUGUGUGUGUGUGUGUGUGUGUGUGUGUGUGUGUUUUCUUUCUUUCUCCCUGUCUUGUGGUUUGGCUUUUCAAAAAAAAAAAAAAAAGCUUGGUUUUUAACAGAUCCAAGAAGUUCAGAUGAGAUAUUCUUUCCUGUCAAACAGGAUCCCAAAACCUUUUGAGGUUUCUCAAGGACUUGUCUCCAUAAGCCGAAAAGUCUGUUCUCUUUCUUCACUGUUGCCAGAAAAGUAAUUAGGCCAUUUUUCUAAUUAUAGUAAUCUUCCCCAAAUGGCAUAUAACUUCAAAUCCAAAUGCCAUGUAAAUUGGCCAACAACACUCUGCCGUGAAGCACUUUAACAAGACAGUUUGAAUGUAGGAGUUUCACUUUGUGUGAAGCAAAAUGUGUUCUCUGUCCCAGUUACAACCAGGUUUUCAUUCUCAGUGUCCUGCCCACGAGGUUCCACUAUUUUAGUGCAAAGAGCAUGGAUGGUAAUUGCUCCUGUCACUGGCAUUUUGUGAGGAGUUGUGUCUGUGUUGGAUAAGUUAACGUCCUUUUGGAAAAAAUGUUUAUCCACAGAAAAAUUGAACAAGAUUAAAUUGCACUCAUGUUGUUAUAGCGACUAAAAAUCUCUAGAUAGUUAAGAGUGAAGUUCCCUGUGUCACAGAACACAGAACUAGAUUUUUCUCCCUCUAAGAAUAAUCCUCUUGUCUUUGGUCUCUAUUAUGCUAACCAAGGGGAAAUUAGGUCCUGCUGGUAAAUUUGCGGUCCCAAAUAUGUUCACAGUAGAUUAAUUGCUACCUUCUCUUGCUCCAUUUGUAAACAAAACAAAACAAAAUACAACAACAACAACAAACACUUUUCCAAAUAAUAUAUCUUGUAGAUAUUUGAUUUUUCAUUGUCUACCCACCCUCCUGUGUGUGGACUGGGAUAAGGGCACUAUGGUGAAGUCUCUAGAAAAUGGAACCGGGCACUGAAAAUGAGGAGUAAAUAAGGGCGGAUUUCUCCAGGAAAUGAUGGAGUUAUGCUGAUUGAAAAAGGAAGAAUAAAAUUGGAUAGGAAUUUAAGAACGUAAAAAUGGAGUGAGCAUUUAAGGGUACAACAAGGUACAAAGUACAACAGGUUCCUGAAUUACGUGUGGAUGAUGCUUUGCGACACUAACCAAAACUACUUUAUUUCCACAGAAGUGCGAUUCAGCCAUCAAAACUUGGGUAUAAGGAGAAGAGAAUGUGCCAAGUGGGUAUUCCCAAGUGUUAGAUUGGAUUGGAUUUUAAUUUACUAGUGGUUCCAUUGUGUUUGCAAAAAGUACAAAUUCCUGAAUUAUUAUCUCAGAAAUUAUAUUUCAUAGGUCUGAGGUAAGGCUUUGGAAUCUGCAUUUUAGCAAGCUUCCUGGGUGGUUCUGAUGAAGUGGUUCUUAGCACUACAAUUAGUUGCUUAUUAGCUAACACUAUUAGCUAUCAUGCAUAUUAUUUAUUAGACUAUUGGUUGGUUAUUAGCCAACACUAUUGCUCUGAGAAUUUUAAGGGACAUAGGCUGGCAGAUAGCCCAGAACACUGACAGCACAAUUUGGAGCCAGUACUACUAAGGGAAUUCAAAUAAGUGAAAAAUACCUUGUAGGCAAGAAAAGUGUGGAAUGAAUUAGAAAGUUUUCAUUUUUUUUCCCAAAGCUAUUCAAAGGGUGGAAUAAUGACCUGCUAAAGUGGAAAUUAGGUUGUGAAAGCCACGGCAUGGAUUAUUUUAAGGGGAUGGUUAUUGGGGUGCCUGGGUGGCUCAGUCAGUUAAGUGUCCAACUUUGGCUCAUGUCAUGAUCUCACAGUUCUUGGGUUCAAGCCCCGUGUUGGGCUCUGUGCUGACAGCUCAGAGCCUGGAGUCUGCUGUGUCUCCCUCUCUCUCUGCCCUUCUCCCACUCACACUUUGUCUCUCAAAAAUAAAUAAACAUUAAAAAAAUAAAUAAAGGGGAGACGGUCAUUUAGAUUUUGAGUAGAUAAUAUAAUGAAAGAAUGUGGAACUACAAAUGUCCUUUAGGGGAUGGGAUACAAAAAUGUACAUUUAAGAAAAAGAUAGGAAAGGCCUUAAGCCUUAUUGUACAGGGAUGCCGGAAAAAUAUUAGCAUCAGUACUUGCCAUUUCCAAAAGUAAGGACUUUUUUUUGAAAAUAAAAUUUCUGUUACUUAUUUCUGUGCCACAUCACCACACACUAUACAUACAUCUUAGGCCAUUGUUUGAAUUCCCGUGUGUGUUCUUUGUGACUUCCAGAUAACCUCUCUUCUGGAUUAUUUACCGGGAAUGCCUUAAAAAGCCAAACAGGACAAGGAUGCUCUUGUCAGUGAACCAAGGAGUCUCAAUUGUUUGAUUGCUUAGAGUGAAAACGCUGGGGGGUGGGGGGCACGGAAUCUUGAAUUUAUUUAAAUUUGAAAUAUGCUUUGGCAUAAAAUAACUGCUCGACAAA